AUGACAGUUAUACUAGGAGGCGACUUCAGACAAAUCCUGUCAGUUAUAACCAAAGGAAGGAGAGAGCAGAUAGUAAAUGCUUCAAUCAAAAGGUCAUAUCUGUGGAAACACUUUGAAAUAUUUGAGUUAACACAGAACAUGCGGCUGAAGUGUUUGUCAGUUGAUCCAAUACAAAAGCAAAAGGUCGCUGAAUUUGCAGAGUGGAUACUACAGAUUGGCGAUGGGAAAACAACAUCAGAUGAAGGAGAGGAUUGGAUAAAAAUACCAAAAGACCUACUGCUCGAGAAAGGAGAAAAUCGUAAAGAACAAAUCGUCAAAAGCAUAUACCCAAAUUUGCUGCGAAAAUACCGUGAGCGGGAUUACCUAGAAGGAAGAUCAAUACUAUGUCCAAGAAAUGAUACAGUCAAGGAGAUAAAUGACCACAUAAUGAGCCAAAUACAAGGUGAAGAGGUGACAUACCUAAGCCUGGAUACAGUGUGCAAGGAAACGACAAAUACCAACAUCAUGAUGAACAUGCAGCCUACUGAGUUCCUCAACACCUUAACGUCCCCAGGAAUACCAGACCAUAAGUUAAAACUGAAGGUGGGUUUGCCGGUCAUGCUACUACGCAACAUCAACCAAGCAGCAGGUUUAUGCAACGGUACAAGAAUGACAAUUACACAACUUGGAAACAAAUACAUCGAGACAGAAAUAAUCACAGGAACACAUGUCGGCGAUAAGGUAUACAUACCUCGAAUCAUCAUGUCACCAAGCGACUCAAAAUGGCCAUUCGUGCCGAAAAGAAGGCAAUAUCCAUUAUCAGUGUGCUUUGCAAUGACAAUAAACAAGAGCCAAGGUCAGUCCUUAAACAAGGUAGGCAUAUAUUUGCCUAAGCAAGUAUUCUGCCAUGGACAACUAUAUGUGGCACUAUCAAGAGUGACAAACCAGGGAGGAUUGAAGGUGCUGAUCGAUGACGAAGAGUGUCCAACCGAAGAUGUCGCAAAGAAUAUUGUUUACAAAGAGAUUUUU
RNAcentral lists this ribosomal RNA (1008 nucleotides) under Triticum aestivum (bread wheat). Its description in RNAcentral is "partial small subunit ribosomal RNA". The record is from RNAcentral. Lineage: Eukaryota; Viridiplantae; Streptophyta; Magnoliopsida; Poales; Poaceae.